GCGCAUUCCACCGCUACACCAGGAAUUCCAGUCUCCCCUGCAGUACUCAAGUCUGCCCGUAUCGCCCGCACGCCCACAGUUAAGCUGUGAGUUUUCACGAACAACGCGACAAACCACCUACGAGCUCUUUACGCCCAGUAAUUCCGGACAACGCUCGGACCCUACGUAUUACCGCGGCUGCUGGCACGUAGUUGGCCGGUCCUUCUUCUGCACAUACCGUCACUUGCGCUUCGCCUGUGCUGAAAGAGGUUUACAACCCGAAGGCCGUCAUCCCUCACGCGGCGUCGCUGCAUCAGGCUUGCGCCCAUUGUGCAAUAUUCCCCACUGCUGCCUCCCGUAGGAGUCUGGGCCGUAUCUCAGUCCCAGUGUGGCCGGUCACCCUCUCAGGCCGGCUACCCGUCGUCGCCUUGGUAGGCCAUUACCCCACCAACAAGCUGAUAGGCCGCGGGCCCAUCCCACACCGCAAAAGCUUUCCACCACACACCAGGAAGUGCAUGGUCAUAUUCGG
RNAcentral lists this ribosomal RNA (508 nucleotides) under uncultured Mycobacterium sp. Its description in RNAcentral is "partial 16S ribosomal RNA". Lineage: Bacteria; Bacillati; Actinomycetota; Actinomycetes; Mycobacteriales; Mycobacteriaceae. The record is from RNAcentral.